CCUACGGGUGGCAGCAGUGGGGAAUAUUGCACAAUGGGGGAAACCCUGAUGCAGCGACGCCGCGUGGGUGACGAAGUAUUUCGGUAUGUAAAGCCCUAUCAGCAGGGAAGAAGAUGACAGUACCUGACCAAGAAGCCCCGGCUAACUACGUGCCAGCAGCCGCGGUAAUACGUAGGGGGCAAGCGUUAUCCGGAUUUACUGGGUGUAAAGGGAGCGUAGGUGGCAUGGCAAGCCAGAAGUGAAAACCCGGGGCUUAACCGCGCGGAUUGCUUUUGGAACUGUCAGGCUGGAGUGCAGGAGGGGCAGGCGGAAUUCCUGGUGUAGCGGUGAAAUGCGUAGAUAUCAGGAGGAACACCGGUGGCGAAGGCGGCCUGCUGGACUGUAACUGACACUGAGGCUCGAAAGCGUGGGGAGCAAACAGGAUUAGAUACCCUAGUAGUC
Molecule: ribosomal RNA, 441 nt
Filed under: uncultured bacterium
Lineage: Bacteria
Description: partial 16S ribosomal RNA
Rfam family: Bacterial small subunit ribosomal RNA
Source: RNAcentral